UAGUGGCAGACGGGUGAGUAAUGUAUAGGAAUCUACCUAGUAGUACGGAAUAAUUGUUGGAAACGGCAACUAAUACCGUAUACGCCCUAAGGGGGAAAGAUUUAUUGCUAUUAGAUGAGCCUAUAUUAGAUUAGUUAGUUGGUAAGGUAAUGGCUUACCAAGGCAAUGAUCUAUAGCUGAUCUGAGAGGAUGAUCAGCCACACUGGAACUGAGAUACGGUCCAGACUCCUACGGGAGGCAGCAGUGGGGAAUAUUGGACAAUGGGCGAAAGCCUGAUCCAGCCAUACCGCAUGAGUGAAGAAGGCCUUUGGGUUGUAAAGCUCUUUCGGUGAGGAAGAUAGUGACGGUACUCACAGAAGAAGUCCUGGCUAACUCCGUGCCAGCAGCCGCGGUAAUACGGAGAGGGCUAGCGUUAUUCGGAAUUAUUGGGCGUAAAGAGCGCGUAGGCUGGUUAGUAAGUUAAAAGUGAAAUCCCAAAGCUCAACUUUGGAAUUGCUUUUAAAACUGCUAACCUAGAGAUUGAAAGAGGAUAGAGGAAUUCCUAGUGUAGAGGUGAAAUUCGUAAAUAUUAGGAGGAACACCAGUGGCGAAGGCGUCUAUCUGGUUCAAAUCUGACGCUGAGGCGCGAAGGCGUGGGGAGCAAACAGGAUUAGAUACCCUGGUAGUCCACGCUGUAAACGAUGAAUGUUAAAUAUGGGAAGUUUACUUUCUGUAUUACAGCUAACGCGUUAAACAUUCCGCCUGGGGACUACGGUCGCAAGAUUAAAACUCAAAGGAAUUGACGGGGACCCGCACAAGCGGUGGAGCAUGUGGUUUAAUUCGAUGCAACGCGAAAAACCUUACCACUUCUUG
RNAcentral lists this ribosomal RNA (852 nucleotides) under Wolbachia endosymbiont of Cimex lectularius. Its description in RNAcentral is "bacterial SSU rRNA". It matches the Rfam family "Bacterial small subunit ribosomal RNA", at positions 93 to 983 of the family's 1533-position model. Lineage: Bacteria; Pseudomonadati; Pseudomonadota; Alphaproteobacteria; Rickettsiales; Anaplasmataceae. The record is from RNAcentral.